UGAGGGAAUAUUGGGUCAAUGGGCGAGAGCCUGAACCAGCCAAGUAGCGUGCAGGACGACGGCCCUAUGGGUUGUAAACUGCUUUUAUACGGGAAUAAAGUGAUGCCUGCGGGCGUUAUUGCAUGUACCGUACGAAUAAGGACCGGCUAAUUCCGUGCCAGCAGCCGCGGUAAUACGGAAGGUCCAGGCGUUAUCCGGAUUUAUUGGGUUUAAAGGGAGCGUAGGCGGAUUUUUUAAGUCAGUUGUGAAAGUUUGAGGCUCAACCUUAAAAUUGCAGUUGAAACUGGAAGUCUUGAGUGCACGCAGAGGUGCCGGAAUUCAUGGUGUAGCGGUGAAAUGCUUAGAUAUCAUGAAGAACUCCGAUCGCGAAGGCAAGUGCCUGGAGUGCUACUGACGCCGAGGCUCGAAAGUGCGGGUAUCAAACAGGAUUAGAUACCCUGGUAGU
RNAcentral lists this ribosomal RNA (445 nucleotides) under uncultured Prevotellaceae bacterium. RNAcentral describes it as "bacterial SSU rRNA". It matches the Rfam family "Bacterial small subunit ribosomal RNA", at positions 354 to 794 of the family's 1533-position model. Lineage: Bacteria; Pseudomonadati; Bacteroidota; Bacteroidia; Bacteroidales; Prevotellaceae. The record is from RNAcentral.